AACAAAAACAUUUCUUUUUGGUGUUAAUAAAAAGUAAGACCUGCCCCAUGAUAAUUAAAUGGCCGCAGUAAUAUGACUGUGCUAAGGUAGCAUAAUAAUUWGUCCUUUAAAUGAGGACUGGAAUGAAUGGUUCUAUGGAAAUUGAUUAAUGAUUUUAUUAUAGUAUGAAUUUAAUAUUUAAGUUAAAAUUCUUAAAUGUACCUAAAAGACGAGGAGACCCUGUGGAUCUUUACUACUUAACACUUAUUAUUAUUAAAGAUUUAAGUUCAAAGGUAGUUUGAUUGGAACGAUUCUUUAUUUAACUAAAGUUAGUGAAAUUAUUUUUGAUCCUACUUAAGGAAAUAAGAAUAAGUUACCCCAGGGAUAACAGCGUUAUAUUACCGGAUAGUUCAUAUKGAUGGUAAUGUUUGCGACCUCGAUGUUGAAUUAAAAUUUCUUUGUGAAGCAGAAGUCACAAGAAGUUAGUCUGUUCGACUACGAAAAUUUUACGUGAUCUGAGUUC
Molecule: ribosomal RNA, 502 nt
Filed under: Heterocypris incongruens
Lineage: Eukaryota; Metazoa; Arthropoda; Ostracoda; Podocopida; Cyprididae
Description: partial 16S ribosomal RNA
Rfam family: Bacterial large subunit ribosomal RNA
Source: RNAcentral